RNAcentral lists this ribosomal RNA (305 nucleotides) under uncultured bacterium. Its description in RNAcentral is "bacterial SSU rRNA". It matches the Rfam family "Bacterial small subunit ribosomal RNA", at positions 336 to 658 of the family's 1533-position model. The record is from RNAcentral.
CUCCUACGGGAGGCAGCAGUCGGGAAUAUUGCACAAUGGAGGAAACUCUGAUGCAGUGACACCGCGUAUAGGAAGAAGGUUUUCGGAUUGUAAACUAUUUUAGACAGGGAAGAAAAAAGACAGUACCUGUAGAAUAAGCUCCGGCUAACUACGUGCCAGCAGCCGCGGUAAUACGUAGGGAGCAAGCGUUAUCCGGAAUUAUUGGGUUUAAAGGGUGCGUAGGCGGACUGUCAAGUCAGCGGUAAAAUACGGGGGCUCAACCUCCGCCCGCCGUUGAAACUGACGGUCUUGAGUGGGCGAGAAGU